Mytilus trossulus (common blue mussel) is the source of this 1603-nucleotide long non-coding RNA. RefSeq lists it as uncharacterized. NCBI's taxonomy places the organism in Eukaryota, Metazoa, Mollusca, Bivalvia, Mytilida, Mytilidae. The record is from RefSeq and is a predicted model, not a curated record. The transcript has 3 exons.
UAAAGACUACAAUGGACCUGCUAUUAGUUUAAACUACUGGGCCAAAUUUAAUCAAACUUUGCUUUUAUCAUUAAAAGGGUAUGCAAUACUAUUAACUGAUUUUCAAACAACAGUGAAGACAUUAAAUAUAAACCACAAAGAAAUGUUCUUAUAUCAAAAUUGGCCCAUUUAAAAAAAUAUGACAAAGAAUCCAAAAACUGAGGAUGAAUAUAUCAAACUACUACUUAUUAGAAAGUGUAGAAAAACACUUAGAUUAAUAUCAUCUUUUAUUAAUCAUUUGAAUUAAGGAAAAAUGUCUUUAUAAAUGCAUGAGUAAUAUGAACAAUUUAAAGCUAUAACAUAAAAUGUACUUUUGUCAGUAGCCUAAAAGGCUAAUCUAAAUGAACCUAUAUAUAUUGAUAUGUUUAUAACUGCAUAUUUCAUUUUUUGAAAUAUAUGUCUAUUGAUAUUCUAUGUAGACUAUUGUUUAAUUGCUGCAUCCAUUACUAUUUGUAUACUUAUUGUGAUUGGGCUGUUGCCAAUUAUUGUAAUUGAGUUUGUGCCAAUAAAAUAUUUGUAUUUGUAUUGAAUAUUACAAGACCGUAACUACCCUUGACGCAAGUGAGGCAAUUGCCUCAAUAAAAUUUCGAAACUGAUUAUUUUUUUAUACAUAAUUAUAAUCAGCUAAUUGUUUGCAAAACUCUUUGAAUACAUGUAUAUAGUAUUGUGUCCACAUGCUAAAUACUGUUUCUCCCUUUCAGCAAUUAUGAUUACAAGGAUGAUGGAGUCAGAGGAGUUACAUUUUAACUAUUGAUAAAGACUGAUACUUGAAUGAAGUAACCGACAUGCAGUGUCCCCGACUCCAUGCCUGACAGUCCAUUUUUACAUGUACAAAAAAAAAUUACACACUUGUAGUUCCCGAGAUGUAAGUGGAAGUGAAGUUAUACAAUGAAAUGAAUGAAUUGAUUGGAUAUACAUGUAGAUGAGACCCUAUACCUACAGUAAAUGUAAUUGGAACUGUAGGAAGUUUUCCAAGAGUCUGAUUGCUAAGUAUGCAUUACAGGAUUUUAUCAUUGGAGCAACAUCUUAGGAGGAUAAACUUGUGCAAAUGUAUGAAGGAAUCCUUGAGUACAAACAGCAAUUAUAUGCAGAAGACUCUACCAUUAUAAGCAGACAUGAAGUCAUAGAAGUGGUGUAUUCAUGCAAGCAAUGUAAACCACCUGGAAUAAACUAUUGUGUAUAUUUUUUCAACCACAAGUACUUUCAGAAUAUAAUACAAUUCGAAUUUAAUUGAUAAGAGACUAUAAACAAUUACAAUAUGAAUCAAGAAUAGCCAUCAACUGAACACUAAAUUCUUUGAAUAUUUUUUUUAAUCAAGAUGAAAUUUUGGACAAUCACUGAAAAGGUUUCUGGCUUUAAAUUGGUACAUGAAUAUGUGGAGAGGUUAACUACUGUAGUUCUUUUCUCCAAAACCUUCUUAAAAAAGAAUUGGCAUCUUUUGCAAGUAGGUAUUUUUCAUAAUGUGAUUGGUUUGUGUUAAUAUUGAUGAUCACACAAUAUGACUUGUACAAACAUAGUAAAAAUCAAUUCAAAUGAAAUAUACAUCAUUGCAAACAUCUUCUAU